AUGGCCCUCUCCGCCGGCGACGUGCCGACCAUGUACGCGGUCCUCGCCAACUCGCUCAGCGCCGACGAGGCGACGCGGCACCCCGCCGAGUCGGCCCUCGCGCAGUGCGAGCCCCGCCCCGGCUUCUGCUCCUGCCUCCUGGAGAUCAUCUCCGCCAGGGGCUCGUCCUGCCGCGAGGACGUGCGCCUGCUCGCCACGGUUUAUUUCAAGAACAGCAUCAACCGCUACUGGCGGACUCGCCGGGAUUCCUAUGGAAUUAGCAACGAGGAGAAGGACCACCUUCGUAAAAAUCUUUUGCUAAACAUACGAGAGGAGAAUAACCAGAUUGCACUUCAGCUAGCUGUACUAAUCUCGAAGAUUGCACGCUUGGAUUACCCAAGAGAAUGGCGGGACCUUUUCUCUAUAUUGGCACAACAACUGCAAUCUGCUGAUGUUCUUGCUUCACAUCGUGUGUUUAUGGUCUUAUUUCGAACUUUAAAGGAGCUGUCAACUAAACGGCUUGCUGUUGAUCAGAGGAAUUAUGCUGAGAUUACUAGCCACUUGUUCGAGUAUACCUGGAACCUUUGGAAGAGUGACGUGCAGACUAUAUUGCAAAAUCUUUCUAUGCUCUCUCAGAGGAAUGACUUAGAUUCCAUUUUGGAGCAAUCAAACGAUCUAAUCUUGAUAUGCGACCGUUGGUUGCUUUGUUUAAAGAUCAUCCGGCAACUAAUUUUUUCAGGUUAUGCAAGUGAUUCAACAACAGCGCAGGAAGUCUGGCAGGUCAGGGAAGUAUGUCCAACAGUUUUGAGUGCCAUUCAAUCCCUUCUUCCUUAUUACUCGUCCUUUAAAGAUAAGCAAGCUAAACUAUGGGAAUUUGCAAAAAGGGCAUGCACUAAGUUGAUGAAAGUCCUUGUCACCUUACAAGGCAGACAUCCAUAUUCUUUCGUACACCAAACUGUGCUUCCUGCUACAGUUGACUUCUGUUUGAAUAUAAUCACAAAUCCCGAACAGGCUGGCGCAUCCUUUGAGGAGUUUCUUAUACAAUGCAUGGUUUUGGUUAAAACCGUAUCAGAAUGCAAAGAGUACAAACCAAGUGCCACAGGUCGCGUCAUCAAUGAAAGUGCACAACCUUUAAGCUUGGAGCAAAAGAAAAAAAACUUUGCAGCAGUGGCUAGUGACAUGCUGAAGGUUGUUUUGCCUGGUGAUCGAGUUGUGUUGCUUUGCAACAUUUUAAUAAGGAGAUACUUUAUUUAUACAGCAAAAGAUCUGGAGGAAUGGUCAGAGAAUCCUGAAUCCUUUCAUCAUGAGCAGAAUUUGGUCCAGUGGACUGAGAAACAACGGCCAUGUGCUGAAGCCCUCUUCAUUGUCAUCUUUGAGAACUACCGAGAGCUACUAGCUCCAGUUGUUGUUUCAAUUCUUCAAGAAGCCAUGUCUGUUUCUCCACCACUCGAAACAGAUGUUACAUCUGGAAUGCUUCUGAAGGAUGCUGCUUAUACAGCUGCCGGGCAUGUGUAUUAUGAACUUUCAAAUUACCUCAGUUUUAAUGAAUGGUUCCAUGGAUCUCUAUCCAUAGAAAUUUCAAAUGGUCAUCCCAAUAUGCGCAUCAUUCGUCGAAAAGUUGCAUUGCUACUUGGGCAAUGGAUUUCUGAGAUCAAGGGUGACACACGGAAAUUGGUCUACCGUGCUUUGGUUGCAUUGCUGCAGGAUAAUGACAUAGCUGUCAGGCUAGCAGCAUGCUCUUCUCUGUGUUAUCUUUUCCAAGAAUCUAGCUUUUCAGAACUUGAUUUGUUUGAAUGUCUUCCAACAUGUUGGACAAUGUGUUUCAAGUUGACAGAAGAUGUCCAAGAAUUUGAUUCUAAGGUGCAAGUGUUGAAUUUCAUCUCAGUUCUUCUUGAACAUGUCGGAGACAAGGUUAUUCCAUUUGCAAGUCAGUUAUCACAAUUUUUCCAGAAGAUCUGGGAUGAAUCUGCUGGUGAAAGCUUGUUACAGAUUCAACUGCUAACAGCACUUCGAACUUUUGUUUCUUCUCUUGGGUACCAGUCGCCUCUUUCUUAUCACAUGCUUAUGCCUAUACUGCAAAGUGGUGUAAAUGUUGAUAGCCCUGACGCUCUUAAUCUUCUCGAGGACAGUGUUCUGUUGUGGGAAGCAACCCUUUCGAAUGCCCCAUCUAUUGUACCUCAACUGAUGGAUUUAUUCCCUUAUCUUGUGGGCAUUGUGAAUAGAAGCUUCGACCAUCUGGAGGUCGCGGUCAACAUAAUUGAGGAUUACACAAUUUUUGGUGGAUCAGAAUUUUUAAAAAGCCACGGUACAAGUUUGGCGAAUGUUCUUGAUACUAUUGUUGGAAAUGUAAAUGACAAGGGACUUCUCACCACACUUCCAGUCAUUGAUCUUCUUAUUCAGCUCUUUCCUCAGGAAGCUCCACCUUUGAUAUCCAGUGCUCUUCAGAAACUUAUCUUCAUAUCUUUGAGUCGAGAUGAUGAGCAUAACCCUUCUAGGACAACUGUACGUGCAUCCUCUGGAGCAAUUCUUGCUAGGCUUUUGGUGAUGAAUACAAACUUUUCGGCACAGCUAUUAUCAGAGCCUACCCUUUUGGCAAACAUUCAACAGUCAGGGAUAUCUCUAAAGGAUAAUCUGCUACUCUCUUUGGUUGAUAUGUGGAUUGAUAAGGUGGACAAUGCAUCUGCUAUACAGCAGAAGGAAUACGCAAUGGCUCUCUCUGUAGUUUUGACCUUGCAGAUACCUCAAGUCAUCGACAAACUUGAUGAUAUAUUAAGUGUUUGCACGACUGUUAUUAUUGGGGGCCGUGAAGUAAAGACCGAGGAUGAUUCUAGUGGCGAUAUUACAAGCUCUUCUUGGCUUGGAAAUGAUAAUUCAGGUUACUCCAGCAAAUUCUUGAAAAAGCGACAAGCAAAGGAUUUAGAUCCGAUCAAACAAGCUUCGCUAGAGAACAUACUAAGGGAGAACUUGAAGGCAUGUGCAGCUCACCACGGGGAUUCGACUUUCAAUGCUGCCAUUAGCAGGAUCCAUCCAUCAUCAUUUGCUCAGUUGCAGCAGGCCCUGAAUAGUGCAUGA
Molecule: ribosomal RNA, 3051 nt
Filed under: Triticum aestivum (bread wheat)
Lineage: Eukaryota; Viridiplantae; Streptophyta; Magnoliopsida; Poales; Poaceae
Description: partial small subunit ribosomal RNA
Source: RNAcentral